AUCCACAUGGAAGAGGAUUUCGAUCUUCCCCCUCUAACUAGCCCCACUAUAAACUCCUCUCUUGUUCACUCCCUACCUCAAACCAGAACUUGUUCUCUCUCUAGAUUCUUCCAAAGUCUUUUCUCCUUCCAUCUGCUUAGAUCGCUCUUGAUUGUUUUGCGAGCAUCCACAUGGAAGAGGAUUUCGAUCUUCCAGCCGGAGACGGGAUGAUGAACGAGGACAUGGAUCUUCCCGACGAGAGCCCCAUUUUGAAGGUGGGCGAGGAGAAGGAGAUUGGGAAGCAAGGAUUGAAGAAGAAACUUCUCAAGGAAGGUGAAGGUUGGGACACUCCUGAAAACGGCGAUGAGGUGGAAGUUCAUUACACGGGGACGUUGCUGGAUGGGACUCAGUUCGAUUCCAGUCGAGAUAAAGGGACGCCAUUCAAGUUUACUCUUGGUCAAGGCCAAGUGAUUAAAGGGUGGGACCAAGGUAUUAAAACAAUGAAGAAAGGGGAAAAUGCUAUUUUCACCAUUCCACCUGAGCUGGCUUAUGGUGCUUCUGGGUCACCACCUACCAUUCCUCCCAAUGCAACACUUCAGUUUGAUGUUGAAUUGCUGUCUUGGACUAGUGUCAAGGAUAUCUGCAAGGAUGGUGGGAUAUUUAAGAAGAUUCUUGUUGAAGGAGAGAAAUGGGAGAAUCCCAAGGAUCUUGAUGAAGUUACAGUUAAAUAUGAAGCUCUGCUUGAGGAUGGAACAGUUGUUGCCAAAUCUGAUGGAGUAGAGUUUACCGUCAAAAAGGGUCAUUUUUGUCCUGCAUUGUCAAGGGCUGUCAAGACAAUGAAGAAGGGAGAGAAGGUUCUUCUAACGGUGAAGCCUCAAUAUGGGUUUGGGGAGAAGGGUAAGCCAGCAUCUGCUGAUGAAGGCGCUGUUCCACCCAAUGCCACACUCCAAAUAACACUGGAGUUGAUUUCAUGGAAGACAGUGUCAGAGGUGACUGAUGACAAGAAGGUUAUAAAGAAAAUCCUGAAGGAGGGCGAGGGAUAUGAGCGUCCAAAUGAUGGAGCUGUUGUCAAGUUGAAAUUGAUUGGGAAGUUGCAAGAUGGUACAGUAUUUCUGAAGAAGGGCCAUGAUAAUGAGGAUGAAGUAUUUGAGUUCAAGACAGAUGAGGAGCAAGUAAUUGAGGGGCUUGAUAGAGCUGUGAUGACAAUGAAGAAGGGUGAGGUGGCACUGUUAACAAUUGCAGCAGAGUAUGCAUUUGGUUCAUCUGAAUCACAGCAGGAGUUGGCUGUUGUUCCUCCCAACUCGACUGUAUACUAUGAGGCUGAGCUGGUGUCUUUUGUCAAAGAAAAGGAAUCAUGGGACAUGAACACCCAAGAAAAAA
Molecule: unclassified non-coding RNA, 1359 nt
Filed under: Hevea brasiliensis (rubber tree)
Lineage: Eukaryota; Viridiplantae; Streptophyta; Magnoliopsida; Malpighiales; Euphorbiaceae
Source: RNAcentral